GUGUUUUCUUCCUGGGAACAGUUUAAAGACACAUGUAAAAUCGAUCAGGUAAGACCAUGAAUCAAAAAGAACCCCAGGCAGAAGGAAUGACAGCUAUAGUUUUUGUCUGCAGGCUAAGUGAAGGCAGGGAACCUCAGAGGUGAUUCAUUGCCUCCCACCAGUGUCUGGCAGGCAGCAGGUCGCUGGCAAAGAUGUUUCAUGGAAAUUAAACACAGGUCUCCCCUUUGGAAACCCCCUAUCCCAUCCCUUCUUCCCCUGCCUUUAUGAGGGUGCUCCCCUACCCACCCACUCACUCCUGUCUUCCCGCGCUGGCCUUCCCCUACACCGGGGCAUUGGACACCCUCAGGCCCAUGGGCCUCUCCUCUCACUGAUGUUCAACAAGGCCAUCCUCUGC
Molecule: long non-coding RNA, 394 nt
Organism: Mus musculus (house mouse)
Lineage: Eukaryota; Metazoa; Chordata; Mammalia; Rodentia; Muridae
Product: predicted gene, 33263
Exons: 3
Source: RefSeq, a predicted model, not a curated record